AAGUCGUAACAAGGUUUCCGUAGGUGAACCUGCGGAAGGAUCAUUAUCGUUAUCCACGUAUCACCAUUGUGAACCGUUUACCUCUAAGGAGAGAUGAGACAGCUUGUAGGAGUGGGUAUACCAAAGGCUCUUUAUUGUGAUUGAGAGCUUGCUCACGACUACCUCGGGUUAGCAAUAACUCGUACUCGCUUUCCUUAGUUGUAUUUUCAAUCGCACUUUGAUUAACCUUUUGAACAACAAAUAAACAAUAUAACCUAUGUACUGAAUUGUUUCUUACUCUGCCUUAACCGGCCGGAGAAGAAAUUCAUUACGAAACAUAAGAACAACUCUUAGCAACGGAUAUCUUGGUUCUC
RNAcentral lists this unclassified non-coding RNA (353 nucleotides) under fungal sp. RNAcentral's name for it is "partial internal transcribed spacer region". The stretch from base 1 to 46 matches the Rfam family "Eukaryotic small subunit ribosomal RNA", at positions 1786 to 1831 of the family's 1831-position model. Lineage: Eukaryota; Fungi. The record is from RNAcentral.